AUACGUAGGUGGCAAGCGUUGUCCGGAAUUAUUGGGCGUAAAGCGCGCGCAGGUGGUUCCUUAAGUCUGAUGUGAAAGCCCCCGGCUCAACCGGGGAGGGUCAUUGGAAACUGGGGAACCUGAGUGCAGAAGAGGAUAGUGGAAUUCCAAGUGUAGCGGUGAAAUGCGUAGAGAUUUGGAGGAACACCAGUGGCGAAGGCGACUGUCUGGUCUGUAACUGACACUGAGGCGCGAAAGCGUGGGGAGCAAACAGGAUUAGAUACCCUGGUAGUCCACGCCGUAAACGAUGAGUGCUAAGUGUUGGGGGGUUUCCGCCCCUCAGUGCUGCAGCUAACGCAUUAAGCACUCCGCCUGGGGAGUACGGUCGCAAGACUGAAACUCAAAGGAAUUGACGGGG
RNAcentral lists this ribosomal RNA (397 nucleotides) under uncultured bacterium. RNAcentral's name for it is "partial 16S ribosomal RNA". It matches the Rfam family "Bacterial small subunit ribosomal RNA", at positions 523 to 918 of the family's 1533-position model. The record is from RNAcentral.